UAAGAAAAAGCAUGGAGGUAGCUCCUUCUCUCCCCUUUCACUUCCCCUCCAACCUGGCAGUUCCAUUCAGUGUUUUCCCUGGAAACAUACCACCCUUCUUAACUGAGCAAGAGAGAAUGAGAGUCGCAAUCAUUUAGCAAUGCACUUGGCAGAUGGCUCUGUUGUUUAAGCAAUAUAAAUCUCAUUUUGUCCCUGACUUGUGAGUCUCUUCAGACAGAAAAUCCUGCAGGUUUAUGAAUAGCCGUGCUCAGAACAAUGAUUGGAGAAAGUCUCUUAAGGCACAGGGAUGAAGGUAAUUCAUCAGGGUCUAUAGCUUAGACAGAUCUCCAUCCCAGAUUAAGAAGAUAUCCCAGAAAAUGAAGAACGUCCAUAAACUCAUUUGUGGAUAACUUGGUUCACCAUAAGAAUUUCCGAAACAAUGUUAAGCCCUGAGAUAAAAGUUUGCAGACACUGGAGAGUGGUGGAAAAGGAUUGGGCUUGUGAACAAAUUGAAGCAUAUUUGAUCAAAACCUGAGCCCCUUUCUCAUUCUGUGUUCUAGAUACAGUUCAUUAAACUUCUAUGAGCCUUGA
Long non-coding RNA from Cavia porcellus (domestic guinea pig), 570 nucleotides. RefSeq lists it as uncharacterized. The record is from RefSeq and is a predicted model, not a curated record. Lineage: Eukaryota; Metazoa; Chordata; Mammalia; Rodentia; Caviidae. The transcript has 2 exons.